Non-coding RNA from Meleagris gallopavo (turkey), 666 nucleotides. Lineage: Eukaryota; Metazoa; Chordata; Aves; Galliformes; Phasianidae. The record is from RefSeq and is a predicted model, not a curated record.
AUCAAUUUUUCCCACAAAUUCAUAGUUUGCUGCAACGCAUAUUUGUCCCUACUUUGCAGAGAACCUGGCUGAGAGUUCACUGCUCAACAAGCUGCUCCACACCUCGCUGGUAGAGAACAGCCACCACGUGGAGCUGCUGCAGCAGGACCCCUCCUCCCCGCUCUUCUCCAUCAGAACCUUCGAGGAGCUGCACCUGGUGUGCACACCAUGGGCUUCACCAGGCCUUCGAAGAUCCCGGCGAAUGCUCUGCCCCUCUCGAUGGCACGUCCGUGAGUCCUGACCCCGCAGGAAGGGGUGAACCAGCCCCGGUGCUCUGCCUCCCUGUGGUGCUGGCGCACAGAGCCCAGACUUCUGCUGCUAACAUUUCCCUUGCAGACCCCAAAAUCCGAUUGCGCAGAGCCAGUCUGGGACAGGCAGAACAGCAGCAUUUGUCCUGGCCCUGCUGAGCAGAGUGAAAGGUGCUGAGAGGUACCCCAGGUAUGAGGCAGGGCACGGCCGCUGCGUGGGGGCAAAGAUCUGGGUUUGCCCCUGUUAUGGAUGGCUCUGGGGUGCUGCAGGCAGAGCUCUGGGUUCGUGUCCGUUUUGUAAUUGCUGUUGAUUAUAAUCUCAAGUAUCGUCAUUGCUGCUCAUCAUAAACUCAAGCAUCCUGGUUACUGCUCACUGUAA